UGCCCAGCAACUCCUAUCCCUACCUCCUCGCGGUACUGGCCGGGGUACGAGUAACCUUAGGGAAGAUCGGGUAACCAACCCCAGGUGGGAACAUUGGUCGUAUGCUGACAGGGAAGG
RNAcentral lists this ribozyme (117 nucleotides) under Aedes aegypti (yellow fever mosquito). Its description in RNAcentral is "drz-agam-1 ribozyme". It matches the Rfam family "drz-agam-1 ribozyme". The record is from Rfam by way of RNAcentral. Lineage: Eukaryota; Metazoa; Arthropoda; Insecta; Diptera; Culicidae.